This 225-nucleotide long non-coding RNA is filed under the name Elaeis guineensis (African oil palm). RNAcentral's name for it is "long non-coding RNA (EGUI_LNC051662)". The record is from RNAcentral. Lineage: Eukaryota; Viridiplantae; Streptophyta; Magnoliopsida; Arecales; Arecaceae.
GCCAGCAGUGGACACUAACUCUUAACCUAACCCUAAUUCGAUCAUAUUAGGUUAGCUCAAAAGUCCCAAUCAACUAAGACUCUUUCUAAUUAAUUCUUGAAUUAAAAUUUUUUAAUUAUGAUGAGUCCACAAGUCAAGAUUGAUGUCUAGCAAUGUGUCAUGACUAUCUAAAAGAUUUAGAAUUUUGAUAAAAUUAUCAAAAUAUCUUUCAGUGAUAAGUUAUCG